Sorghum bicolor (sorghum) is the source of this 266-nucleotide long non-coding RNA. RefSeq lists it as uncharacterized. The record is from RefSeq and is a predicted model, not a curated record. Lineage: Eukaryota; Viridiplantae; Streptophyta; Magnoliopsida; Poales; Poaceae. The transcript has 2 exons.
AGCUGCACCAGACCGCGCAGGAAUCCAACCAGACGUCCAUGUCCAUACCCGCUUCCAUAUAUAAAGUCAACUUGCAAGGGGUGAUUAUGCAGCUUCAGGAGCAUUCCUUGUUGUUUACUUGGGGAGGUGAAAAAGUACGAGUUAUUCCAAGGCUCUUGUGAUCAAAGAUCAAUAAACUAGCAACAUAAUUGUGGUUUGGGGUGGAGAUACAUGUGAUCUGGGUACUAAAGUCCAAUUUGAAAGGUUAAUCAUAUGAUGGAGCAAUA